This 1819-nucleotide long non-coding RNA is filed under the name Ananas comosus (pineapple). RNAcentral describes it as "long non-coding RNA (ACOM_LNC031406)". The record is from RNAcentral. Lineage: Eukaryota; Viridiplantae; Streptophyta; Magnoliopsida; Poales; Bromeliaceae.
AACCUGUACCCCCAAAACAACACGGGGGUGAGAACUAUAUAAAUAUAGUUCCCAGUGGGUACGGCCACCCAAGAGAAGAGCUCGACCCACCAGGUCCAAAGGAGGCAACAGUAGGUUAGUUCAACAAAUAGAUAGAUAGAUAUUUAACGAUGCAACAAAUAGAACCAUACCUUGCCUCGCUGCUAUGCACUAUGCAAUACCUGUAAAUCAUGAAAGUAGCUUACUUGAUUCUACUUUAUAUCAUUAGCCAUUCUUUACUUGUAGCCGUUUUAUUCUUUCUUAGCUAGUUUCAUUCAUUAGCUAUUUUCUUUAUUCUUUUCUUUAUGCUUUAUUCUUUAUUCUUACUGUACUCACUGGCGAUUCUUUCCUAAGGUUACUUUACCUUAGCCAUCUAGCCACUCGACUCGGUCUUGAGUCAAUCAACCGCGGAGUACCGCGUCAAGUCAGGCUCGAGGUGAAGGACGUCUCACAACACCUCAGCCUUAAGUCCACGCGACACUAGGUCCAUCACAGGGAGAGGAGAACCGUCGAUCCCCGUGACCCUAAGUCGCUCAAGCUCAACGGGCGAGGAGAACCGUCAAACCCGUUAGCUCCGGGAGAGGAGAACCGUCAAUCCCGUUGAAUCACUACCGGGAGAGGAGAACCGUCGAUCCCGUAGUUUCGAUUCACUUCACUUGUUUCAUGGCAUACCGGGAGAGGAGAACCGUCGAUCCCGUUGAAUCACUACUGGGAGAGGAGAACCGUCAAUCCCGUAGUUAAGAUUCUAUUUCUGCCAUCAUACCAAUCCUAGGGAUUCCGGAAUCCAUUUUCACAACUUAAGGGUUUACUCUUUUACCCUAUGUCGACGACCUUUCUAGGUCUAUUCUAUUCACUUUCUAGUGGUCCUAUUGCCACUAUGAUACACAACUUAGUUUACUUUUACUAAGUGGUUCUUUACAUCAUAACCUAGGUUCACUUACACUAGGUUUUAUAUACUUUCUCCUAGAUCUCAACUCUAGGUUUACAUACUCGACCUAGGUCCAAUGACACUAGGUUAAUUUCAUGUCCAACCUAUGUUUAAUAACUUAGGUUCAUUUCAUUGCUCAACCUAUGUUUAAUAACUUAGGUUCAUUUCACUCGAUCUAUAUGUAACAUCCUAGUUGUCCAUGCCUAGGAUUACAAUUUAUACGUUUCAUAUUCAACUUACACGACUUUAGUAUGUUCGACAUUCAUAUCUCAUUUAUCAUUCACGUGUUCAUAUACCGACAAUCCUAUGCAUUUAGCAUAAACUACAAUGCAUUCAUAUGCGUCUAGCAUGUUUGUUCGUUAUAUGACAAUUAUCAUGUAUCAUCUAGCAUGAGAUUCACAUUCACAUAUAUAUUUACUCUUAUGCCUUUAGCAUUCACUUUCAUAUAUGUUUAGACAUAUACAUCUAACAUUCAUAUUCAUAGGCCUCUAGCAUUCAUAUGAAGGUUUAAUAACGUAGGUUUCAUAGUUCACAUGUUCUCAUUUCCAUAGUUGUCGGACAUUCUAUAUAACCUUGAGUUAUCGACUCAUAAUCAAUUUAUAUGCAUCUAACUUGAUUAUUGCAUAUUAACUAUCAUAUAGCAUCAAGCAUGUUUAUCACUGAGUCAUUAUGCAUUCUCAAAUAGUAGGUAACAACAACUAAAAUAACAUGAUUUAUGCAUUCAUAUUAUCAAUUACAACCUACCCCGUAUUCAUAAACAUUUAUGUUCAUUAGCCAUUCCGACAAUUACAUUUAUCUAUGCAUCAAAUGAAACCACGAUUUACUUUGGCAUGGAAGUGACCUAAUCACUUCGGUAAAGCACAACCCACCUUU